CAGUCUUGAGGAGAUCACAUUUCCAUCCCUACUUCAAUGAUUGCAUUGGUGCUAUUGAUGGUACACAUAUUCCAAUGACUAUCUCACCACAUGAACAAGAGCCAUAUCGAAACAGAAAGCAAACAAUCACACAAAAUGUUAUGGUUGCAUGUGACUUUGAUUUGAGAUGCGGGCUAUGCAAACACACCACAGUUUCUUGCCCCAUACCGUGGAACUAGAUACCAUUUGCAAGAACAAGCACAAGUACAUCAAAGGCCGCGGAAUCGUAGAGAACUAUUCAACCUUCGCCAUGCACAAUUACGGAAUCAUAUAGAGAGAAUUAUUGGCAUAGUGAAAAAGAGAUUUCCAGUUCUGAAAGUUGCUACACACUAUUCCCCCGGCAAACAAGUUGACAUAUCAAUGGCAUGUUGUGUCCUACAUAAUUUCAUUCGGCUUCAUGAUGGAGAUCUCUCAUGGCUCAACAAUGACACUCCAGAUAUUGACCCACAUCUAAUUGUGGACGUGCCCACGGGAGAUGAAAACUACACUAGUGAUGUUGGAGCAUUCAAUAACACAAGAGAAGCAGGAAACCACCUACGGGAUUAUAUAGCAGAUAAACUGUGGGAGGACUAUAUUGCAAGAAGAGCUUGAUAUAUGCAUUGUAACGUGUACCGCAAACAAAUGUAUGGCAAAAAAAUGUACUGCAAACCAAGAUUAUGGCAUGUCGAAAUUGUAAUAUUCAUUAAAGCAAAGUACUAGAUGCCAUGUUCGUUUUCUGCAACUACUACAUGCUUGCUCUUUCAUUUUCUGCAGCAAGUAGUUCUACCAAAAUAUUACCCAGCCACGUACUUCUACUCCCUAGUUCAGCUUUCUACUUCAAGUAAUUCUA
Molecule: long non-coding RNA, 868 nt
Organism: Triticum dicoccoides
Lineage: Eukaryota; Viridiplantae; Streptophyta; Magnoliopsida; Poales; Poaceae
Exons: 3
Source: RefSeq, a predicted model, not a curated record